UGGGCAACCUGCCCCUAGCUCUGGGAUAACUCCGGGAAACCGGGGCUAAUACCGGAUACGACCUCGAGCGGCAUCUAUCGAGGUGGAAAGUUUUUCGGCUAGAGAUGGGCCCGCGGCCUAUCAGCUUGUUGGUGAGGUAACGGCCCACCAAGGCGACGACGGGUAGCCGGCCUGAGAGGGCGACCGGCCACACUGGGACUGAGACACGGCCCAGAUUCCUACGGGAGGCA
RNAcentral lists this ribosomal RNA (230 nucleotides) under uncultured bacterium. Its description in RNAcentral is "partial 16S ribosomal RNA". It matches the Rfam family "Bacterial small subunit ribosomal RNA", at positions 118 to 350 of the family's 1533-position model. The record is from RNAcentral.